AACGAACGCUGGCGGCGCGCCUAACACAUGCAAGUCGAGCGGUUCCCGCAAGGGAGCAGCGGCGGACGGGUGCGAAACACGUGGGUAAUCUACCUCUCGAUUCGGGAUAACCUGUCGAAAGACGAGCUAAUACCGGAUAAGCGUACGCGGUCGAAUGACCGAGUGCGAAAAGGCGCAAGCCGGCGAGAGAUGAGCCCGCGGCCCAUCA
RNAcentral lists this ribosomal RNA (208 nucleotides) under uncultured bacterium. RNAcentral describes it as "partial 16S ribosomal RNA". It matches the Rfam family "Bacterial small subunit ribosomal RNA", at positions 29 to 243 of the family's 1533-position model. The record is from RNAcentral.